RNAcentral lists this ribosomal RNA (255 nucleotides) under uncultured bacterium. RNAcentral's name for it is "partial 16S ribosomal RNA". It matches the Rfam family "Bacterial small subunit ribosomal RNA", at positions 524 to 776 of the family's 1533-position model. The record is from RNAcentral.
UACGGGGGGAGCAAGCGUUGUUCGGAUUUACUGGGCGUAAAGGGCGCGUAGGCGGCCACCGCAAGUCGAUUGUGAAAUCUCCGGGCUUAACCCGGAAAGGUCAACCGAUACUGCGGGGCUAGAGUGCAGAAGGGGCAACUGGAAUUCUCGGUGUAGCGGUGAAAUGCGUAGAUAUCGAGAGGAACACCUGCGGCGAAGGCGGGUUGCCUGGGCUGACACUGACGCUGAAGUGCGAAAGCUAGGGGAGCGAACGGG